This 445-nucleotide long non-coding RNA is filed under the name Homo sapiens (human). RNAcentral describes it as "HSALNT0116962". The record is from RNAcentral. Lineage: Eukaryota; Metazoa; Chordata; Mammalia; Primates; Hominidae.
AGGAGACGGAAAGCAGUGAACCUCUGUAAAAGCUUAGAGUCUCCUAAGCAAGGGCAGGGCACACACCGGGACAGAACAGCAAAUCGAUGACUUUAGUCGCUAAACUAAAGCUUCAUUCUCCUUAAGAAUGACUCUCCUCCAUCGCCACCCCUCACCCCACUUGAGGACUUAUCUGGAAUUUCAAAUGUUUGUUCCUGCAAAUGCAUCUUCCAUCCUGGGUGACAGGAAGUGUCUGGUUCCAUGACGAUGAAGCAGCCACAAGGCCUCUCUGUGUCAGUGCUGGAGAGAGAGAGCUUCCUUCCUCCUGUCCUGGACCCCUCCUGGAGGGACGCUCCCAAGGCUGAGAUGACACAGUCAUUUCCCGCAUGCUGUCUAGCACUGACCCACCCAUCGCCCUUGUCCUGGUGCUGGUCUGCAGCAGCAGUGAGGGGGACCCCUUUGUGUG